RNAcentral lists this transfer RNA (64 nucleotides) under Strophurus elderi (jewelled gecko). RNAcentral describes it as "tRNA-Cys". The record is from RNAcentral. Lineage: Eukaryota; Metazoa; Chordata; Lepidosauria; Squamata; Diplodactylidae.
CAGUCCUGCAGUGAAUGCACGUCGAAUUGCAAAUUCGAAAACGCCCCCCAGGGUGGCCCGGACU